RNAcentral lists this long non-coding RNA (651 nucleotides) under Salvia miltiorrhiza (redroot sage). RNAcentral's name for it is "long non-coding RNA (SMIL_LNC009063)". Lineage: Eukaryota; Viridiplantae; Streptophyta; Magnoliopsida; Lamiales; Lamiaceae. The record is from RNAcentral.
UGCUUCAUCUUUCUCCUUCUCCGCCAGCACCGCCGCCUUCUCUGGCUUGGGCUGGAGCUCUGGUUUUGGGGGCACCUCAUUUCUCCACGACAGUGGGCUUCUUCACCACCAACACGUCGAUCACCACUACCCCCUCAGUUGCGUUUGCCACCGCCUUGGGAGCCAAUGUCUUCUUGGUUUCCUUGGCUAUGUCGAAGGAACAACGUUGUUAGGAAAGGAAACUGGAAAAUAUUUGAGAUUUUGGUUAGAAAAAGCUAGAAAGUUUGAAUUUGUGAAUUGAGUUUUUUGUCUUCUAAGUAUUUAAGUAAGAAAUGAUAUUGUCGCACAAAUAUUAGGUGAAUUUUUUUUUCUAAUAAAAUGACCACCUCAUCUAAAAUAUGCUACACGUAUUGACAAGUUGGAUAUUUGCUGAAACACAUCAACUUUCAGUCGCCGAUUUUUUUUUUCAUUUUUUGAGGACCACAAACAAUAAAAAGUUGCAAUGAUGGGUAUUGUCUUGUAAUUAGUCGUAGGGUAGAACAUUUUUGAAAAAACGCUCAAACGAUGUGUCAAAAAGUGAUAUUUACCCCAAUAAAGAAUUAUAAUUGUUUAUUCUUUUAGAUUUACUUACAUUAUAGGAUUAAUAUAUUAGGAAUUUAAUUGGAGUUGUAG